UGUACAUUUCCUAAAUUUGAUUUUAGAUGUAUGGUUGAUUCACUAAAUGCGCACCUUUGCAAGGCACACACACCUUGGGUCUAGCAGGUAUUCCCCGGCUUUGCCCGUGGCAAGAUUUACGCAAAGGAGUGAAAUUUGAGACCGAUCGGAUGGCAAACAAAAAAAGGCUACCAUUUGCCAAGCGGGCUUUCUCAAAACCCCAUCACAUAAGGCAACUACAGCUAAGACAAAUAACUGUAUAUAUUAUAUUUAAAUUAAUUUAAUAAAAAUAUUUAUAUUUUCUGGUAAAAUAAAACAUUUCCUUAAUCUUUUAAGAUCGCCUGGCUGGUCCAACGGACAUGAUAACCCGGCAAAGCAGCGCAGAUAAGCAAAAACAAU
Long non-coding RNA from Drosophila novamexicana, 378 nucleotides. RefSeq lists it as uncharacterized. NCBI's taxonomy places the organism in Eukaryota, Metazoa, Arthropoda, Insecta, Diptera, Drosophilidae. The transcript has 2 exons. The record is from RefSeq and is a predicted model, not a curated record.